AUUGAACGCUGGCGGCAGGCCUAACACAUGCAAGUCGAGCGGAUGAAGGGAGCUUGCUCCUGGAUUCAGCGGCGGACGGGUGAGUAAUGCCUAGGAAUCUGCCUGGUAGUGGGGGAUAACGUCCGGAAACGGGCGCUAAUACCGCAUACGUCCUGCGGGAGCAAGUGGGGGAUCUUCGGACCUCACGCUAUCAGAUGAGCCUAGGUCGGAUUAGCUAGUUGGUGGGGUAAAGGCCUACCAAGGCGACGAUCCGUAACUGUCUGAGAGGAUGAUCAGUCACACUGGAACUGAGACACGGUCAAGACUCCUACGGGAGGCAGCAGUGGGGAAUAUUGGACAAUGGGCGAAAGCCUGAUCCAGCCAUGCCGCGUGUGUGAAGAAGGUCUUCGGAUUGUAAAGCACUUUAAGUUGGGAGGAAGGGCAGUAAGUUAAUACCUUGCUGUUUUGACGUCACCAACAGAAUAAGCACCGGCUAACUUCGUG
Molecule: ribosomal RNA, 483 nt
Filed under: uncultured bacterium
Lineage: Bacteria
Description: partial 16S ribosomal RNA
Rfam family: Bacterial small subunit ribosomal RNA
Source: RNAcentral